GACGAACGCUGGCGGCGUGCUUAACACAUGCAAGUCGAACGGAAGGGCCCUGCUUUUGUGGGGUGCUCGAGUGACGAACGGGUGAGUAACACGUGAGUAACCUGCCCUUGACUUUGGGAUAACUUCAGGAAACUGGGGCUAAUACCGGAUAGGAGCUCCUGCUGCAUGGUGGGGGUUGGAAAGUUUCGGCGGUUGGGGAUGGACUCGCGGCUUAUCAGCUUGUUGGUGGGGUAGUGGCUUACCAAGGCUUUGACGGGUAGCCGGCCUGAGAGGGUGACCGGCCACAUUGGGACUGAGAUACGGCCCAGACUCCUACGGGAGGCAGCAGUGGGGAAUAUUGCACAAUGGGCGGAAGCCUGAUGCAGCAACGCCGCGUGCGGGAUGACGGCCUUCGGGUUGUAAACCGCUUUCGCCUGUGACGAAGCGUGAGUGACGGUAAUGGGUAAAGAAGCACCGGCUAACUACGUG
RNAcentral lists this ribosomal RNA (468 nucleotides) under uncultured bacterium. Its description in RNAcentral is "partial 16S ribosomal RNA". It matches the Rfam family "Bacterial small subunit ribosomal RNA", at positions 28 to 507 of the family's 1533-position model. The record is from RNAcentral.